AUUGAACGCUGGCGGCAUGCUUUACACAUGCAAGUCGAACGGUAACAGGCCUUCGGGUGCUGACGAGAGGCGAACGGGGGAGUAUUGCAUCGGAACGUACCCCGAGGUGGGGGGUAACGCAGCGAAAGCUGUGCUAUUACCGCAUGUGAGCUGAGGAUGAAAGCGGGGGGCCGAGCCGCAAUGUUUGCCCUCGCGCCUUUGGAGCGGGCGAUGUCGGCUUAGCUGGUUGGGGGGGUACAGGCCCAACAAGGCGACGCUCCGUAGAGAGUCUGAGAGGAUGAGCAGUCAACAGGGAAAGGAGAUACGGGCCAGCCUCCUACGGGAGGCAGCAGGGGGGAUUAUUGGACAAUGGGGGACAGCCUGAUCCAGACCUGCGGCGUGUGUGAAGAAGGUCUUCGGAUUGUAAAGCACUUUAAUGUGGGAGGAAGGGAAGUAAGUGAAUACCUUGCUGUUUUGACGCUACCAAGAGAAUAAGCACCGGCUAACUUCGU
RNAcentral lists this ribosomal RNA (491 nucleotides) under uncultured bacterium. RNAcentral describes it as "partial 16S ribosomal RNA". It matches the Rfam family "Bacterial small subunit ribosomal RNA", at positions 29 to 506 of the family's 1533-position model. The record is from RNAcentral.